Non-coding RNA from Pelobates cultripes (western spadefoot toad), 478 nucleotides. NCBI's taxonomy places the organism in Eukaryota, Metazoa, Chordata, Amphibia, Anura, Pelobatidae. The record is from the annotation of a GenBank genome assembly.
UCCCACACAUUGCAUUUCUUGUUUUAAUGGGGUUUUUCACUAUUUACAUUUUUAAAGGGGAUUUUCACAGGAUAAUGUCUUUGGUAGACAUGGUAUUUUGUUAAGUCUUUGGUAUACUUCUAUUACUCCACGGGUUGGAGGAUUGCCUUUGGUAGGCAGUAGUAGUUAUGUGCACAUUUCCUCUUUGGUAAGAGGUUCACCUUUGGCCAGGUGUUAAAAAGAAUUUCAAGCCUUUGGUAGGCUGUGAUGUCCUGUGAUGUACAUUUACAUAUGGGAGAUGUCCCUAGAUCCCUCUUUGGUAGAGGUUGCCUUUGGUAGGUUGUAAAACAGAUUUCCAGUCUUUGGUGGACUGUGGUAUUUAUUUAACGUAGAUGUAAAUUUUGCAGGCUAAAAUGGUUUAAAAAAAAAAAAAAAGAUGAUGGAUGUUUGGCAUUACUCCGGCUUGCUAAUUUAUGUGCUAUUUUAUGGUGUGCAACGC